GAAAUGCGAUAAGUAAUGUGAAUUGCAGAAUUCAGUGAAUCAUCGAAUCUUUGAACGCACCUUGCGCCCCUUGGUAUUCCAUGGGGCAUGCCUGUUCGAGCGUCAUCUACACCCUCAAGCUCUGCUUGGUGUUGGGCGUCUGUCCCGCCCCCGCGCGUGGACUCGCCCCAAAUCCAUUGGCAGCGUUCCUUGCCCCCUCUCGCGCAGCACAUUGCGCUUCUCGAGGGCGGCUCCGGGACGCGAUCCAGCAAGAUGACCACCGUCUUUGACCUCGGAUCAGGUAGGGAUACCCGCUGAACUUAAGC
RNAcentral lists this unclassified non-coding RNA (305 nucleotides) under plant metagenome. RNAcentral's name for it is "partial contains 5.8S ribosomal RNA, internal transcribed spacer 2, and large subunit ribosomal RNA". The stretch from base 1 to 105 matches the Rfam family "5.8S ribosomal RNA", at positions 50 to 154 of the family's 154-position model. The record is from RNAcentral.